RNAcentral lists this ribosomal RNA (491 nucleotides) under Streptococcus pneumoniae. RNAcentral describes it as "partial 23S ribosomal RNA". It matches the Rfam family "Bacterial large subunit ribosomal RNA", at positions 1 to 484 of the family's 2925-position model. The record is from RNAcentral. Lineage: Bacteria; Bacillati; Bacillota; Bacilli; Lactobacillales; Streptococcaceae.
GGUUAAGUUAAUAAGGGCGCACGGUGGAUGCCUUGGCACUAGGAGCCGAAGAAGGACGGCACUAACACCGAUAUGCCUCGGGGAGCUGUAAGUGAGCUGUGAUCCGGGGAUUUCCGAAUGGGGAAACCCACUGUUCGUAAUGGAGCAGUAUCCAUGUGUGAAUACAUAGCACAUGAGAAGGCAGACUCAGGGAACUGAAACAUCUAAGUACCUGAAGGAAGAGAAAGCAAAUGCGAUUCCCCAAGUAGCGGCGAGCGAAACGGGAUCAGCCCAAACCAGAAGGCUUGCCUUCUGGGGUUGUAGGACACUCUAUACGGAGUUACAAAGGAACGGAUUAAGCGAAGCGACCUGGAACGGUCCGCAAGAUAGGGUAAUAGCCCCGUAGCUGAAAGUUCGUUCCCUCCAGAGUGGAUCCUGAGUACGGCGGAACACGAGAAAUUCCGUCGGAAUCCGGGAGGACCAUCUCCCAAGGCUAAAUACUCCCUAGUGAC